GAACGAAUGAAGAAACUGUUUCUUCCUCUGUUUGCAGGAAUUGGGUAUUCAUAGUGUACCUGAUUUAAAAUAACAAAAGAACUGAAGAAUUAUAGGAAAUCACACCAACUUGUUUAUGAUUUUAAAGGGAGAAAAAGGAAGGAAAGAUUUCCUACCCUCCUGUCCAGUCCUCCCAAGCACCAUCAAGAAUGUAACAAGAAAUUCUACUCCUACACAGAGUAAGAAUGAAGAAUUCAUAGGAGAUACUUUUUCCAAGAAGAUUCCUGUCACUGUUUGGAAGUUCUAUCUGCAUCUUACAUUAUAG
RNAcentral lists this long non-coding RNA (304 nucleotides) under Sarcophilus harrisii (Tasmanian devil). RNAcentral describes it as "lncRNA (ENSSHAG00000025624.1)". Lineage: Eukaryota; Metazoa; Chordata; Mammalia; Dasyuromorphia; Dasyuridae. The record is from RNAcentral.